RNAcentral lists this long non-coding RNA (266 nucleotides) under Phoenix dactylifera (date palm). RNAcentral's name for it is "long non-coding RNA (PDAC_LNC022222)". Lineage: Eukaryota; Viridiplantae; Streptophyta; Magnoliopsida; Arecales; Arecaceae. The record is from RNAcentral.
UUUGCAAUCUCUACACCCGCUGGUGCCUAUCCGGCCUCCCUCGCGGUCACAGCGCUCAGCGACGAAAACCGCGUCUCUGCCACGCUAUAUUUAUUUAUUUAUUUUUCACGGUGGGGGUCGGGGAGUAAACACCCACACUAUAUAGUGCUCGGCGAGUGAACCGAGACACCUUGCACUAAUCGACCAUGGAGUUCCCCUUCGGUCACCACCACCACCACCACGGCCGCCGCGACGACGAGGAGGAGGGACAGCGCUAUCCUCCUCCC